RNAcentral lists this ribosomal RNA (500 nucleotides) under uncultured bacterium. RNAcentral describes it as "bacterial SSU rRNA". It matches the Rfam family "Bacterial small subunit ribosomal RNA", at positions 30 to 526 of the family's 1533-position model. The record is from RNAcentral.
AUUGAACGUUGGCGGCACGCCUAAUACAUGCAAGUCGAACGAGAAAGCACUUCGGUGUGAGUACAGUGGCGGACGGGUGAGUAACGCGUAGGAAUUUGCCUAGUAGUGGGGGACAACUCGGGGAAACUCGAGCUAAUACCGCAUACGACCUUCGGGUGAAAGUGGGGGACCUUCGGGCCUCACGCUAUUAGAGAAGCCUGCGUUGGAUUAGCUUGUUGGUGGGGUAAAGGCCUACCAAGGCGACGAUCCAUAGCUGGUCUGAGAGGACGAUCAGCCACACUGGAACUGAGACACGGUCCAGACUCCUACGGGAGGCAGCAGUAGGGAAUCUUGGGCAAUGGGCGAAAGCCUGACCCAGCGAUGCCGCGUGUGUGAAGAAGGCCUUCGGGUUGUAAAGCACUUUCAGCAGUGAAGAAAUCCUCGGGACUAAUAUUCCCGGGAGUUGACGUUAACUGCAGAAGAAGAUCCGGCUAACUCCGUGCCAGCCGCCGCCGUAACAC